CAGCGAGUUCAAGGCCAGCCUGGACCACAUCGGGAAACUGUCUCAAAAAACCCAAAAGAGAAGGAGGAGGAGGCGGAAGAAGACCCGGGGGAGGUGAAGGAGAGCCCUGUCCGUCCUGUCCCGGAACACGCUGCACGCUUACUUGAUAACCAAGUCACCGGGGCGAAGCCGCGGGACAUUUUCAGAGCGGCAGCCAGGAACCCUCGCAGGGUGUCGAAGCUUUGGGCGAUCCUCAGCCCUGGAGACCCACACCGCGGAACGCGCUCUGCCCGCCAAGAGCGACUGCCAGGAGGGAUAAGUAAGCAGCAGGGCGUUGCGUUAGAGGACUCGGCAGAUCAAUUUCCACUGAGCCCGAGCGCCCUCCCCCACCAGGGGUGGGACAUGCGCACUGUGACUACGUGGGGGAGGGAGAAAUCCAGUGCUGGGGACAGAUCCCAAACCUUGUGUGCACUGAGCAAGUGUCUGCUCCAGAGCUCCCCCCAGCCUUCGGACUCUACUCAGGUGGAGAAGCGGGCAGGAAGAAUGGCCUCCUGGGCUUCCAUUCAGGCCAGAAGAGGGGCCCUGGGUGUCUGAACUGUCACAGUGACACUGCUGCUGGGGACGGGCACAGGGCUCCAUGGGCAGAGAUAAGAGCAGCAUUUGCAUCUCCUCCCUAGUGCAAUUCCGUUUUCACAUGCACCUACAUUACUCAGAUGAGCUUUUUUAGCUGGGUGCGGUGUAGGCCCAUCACUCAGGAGGCUGAGUCAGAAGGGUCUCCUCAAGUGGGAGCCUGUCUCAAAACAACAACAAAAUAUAUACGUAUGUAUGUAUAUACAUUAUUAGUGCAUAUUAACUUUGCCCAGUAUUGGAGUCUAUCAUGGCAUCAAUACAUUCACCCCCCACCCCCUCUUGUCUAAGGGUUUCCAAACUGAGUUGUUUAAAUUCUAACACAGAGAGUGCUAUGGAUUCCGUCCCCACCAGGGACUGCAUGGACACCGUACUGCUUAAUAAGCCCUGGACUCACUUCCCACCCUCAGCCCCAAACCAGGCGUUGGGUCCGCUGCGAGCUCCACGAGCUGGAAGCAUGAAGGUUGUGCGGUCCCUGGUGUCCUGACCUGGACAGGGAGUCAGGUGAUAUAGCUAGGGCCUGGAGGGUCUCAUACUUUAGCCCAGGCUGGGCACGGUGGUACAUCCCCACAGUCCCAGCCUCAGCAGGAAGAUCGCUGAGAGUUUGAGGCCAGCCUAGGCUGCAUAGUGAGUUCAAGGCCAGCCUGAACUGCACAGUGAGACCCUGUCUCGGGAAAAAACAAAAAAAAGUUGUAGCCCAGCCUGGUCAGCUCAGUAACUUAACAAGAUCUUUUCUCAAAAUAAAAACUGCCAGGAUGUAGCUAAGUGGGAAGGCCCUGGAUUUAAUCCCUAGUGGUGGAAAAAAAAAAAAACCCACAUGAAAUGUAACUCCCAGCCAGCCAGGUGUGGUGGCCAAUGGCUGUAAUUAUAGCGUUCAGGAAGCUAAAACUGGAGGACUGUAGUUUGAGGCCAGCCUGGGCUAUAUACACAGUGAGACUCUGUUGAAAGAAAGAAGAAAGAAAGAAAGAAAGAAAGAAAGAAAGAAAGAAAGAAAGAAAGAAAGAAAGAAAGAAAGAAAGAAAGAGAGAGAGAGAGAGAGAAAGAAAGAGAGAAAGAAAGAGAGAAAGAAAGAGAGAAAGAAAGAAAGAGAGAAAGAAAGAGAGAAAGAAAGAGAAAGAGAGAAAGAGAGAAAGAGAGAAAGAGAGAAAGAAAAAGAGAAAGAUAUAUAUUCAGAGCUGAAGUGGUAAUCAACUUAUAUGUUUCCUUUUGUCGAUAUUAAAAUAUUUAAAUUCAGCCAGGCGUGGUGGCGCACGCCUGUAAUCCCAGCACUCGGGAGGCUGAGGCAUGAGGAUCGUUGCAACUUUGAGGCCAGCCUGGGCUUCAAAGUGAGCUCAAGAUCAGCCUGAAAUGCAUAGUGAAACGCUGUCUCAAAAAGACCAAAAAAAAAAAUUAAAUUCAUUCUAUAGCUCUUACACACUGACACAAGCUGUUUUUAUGAUCCUGAGUAAUUCAGUCUGCCUCUUAAAACACAGAAUCACGAUGCUCACACAGCCCUGAGAAGAAAGAACAAUGAAUUGCGUGGGGCACCGGGGGCGAACACCUGUGAUCCCAGCUGCGAGGAGGCUGAGACCAGAGGAUCACAAGUUGAAGCCCAGCCUCGCAACUUAGUAAAAACCCUCAAAAUUGAAAAAGUAAUAAAUGCAAGGAGAGGGCACUAGGGAUGUAACUCACCGGGAGCGCCCCCCGAGGUUUAAUCCCCAACACCAAAAACCUAAAUAAAUCUGAUAGUGGCCUUUUUAGAGGAGGAUGUGAAUCAGAAACACUUUCACUUCAUUUUUUUAAAAGUUACAUUAAAUAAAGUAAAACUGCAUUAGGUAUCCCACAAGGCUUUUUAAACACAAACCGUAGUUGCUGAAGUCUGUGAUGUCUCUGUAAGAAAACGCUGGAAGCCAGACAAAAGGCCGCUGACCCCGUGUUGGAACACGGUCAAGUAAUAAUUGAUAGCCGGGCAUGGUAGUGCACACCUGCCAUCCCAGCGCUCCAGGAGGCUGAGGCAGGAGGAUCAUCAGUUUGAGUCUCUUCUGGCAAUUUAGGGACUGGUGAGAUCGUGUCUCAAAAUAAAAAAUGAAAAGGCUUGAGGAUGUGGUCAGUGCAGAGGUCCUGGGUUCAAUUUCCAGUACUGGAAGGGGAAAAAAAUUGAUUAUCCUCCUGUCUACUUGUCUGGGCCAGCGACCGCACGCCAAAGAGCCUGGCUUGCCCUGGCCUGUCCCUGGCCUUCGCUCCCUCUCCUGGAAAUGCUUUCAGCACCUUUCCUCGGUGUCUGGGGCGUGAGGUGCUGCGUGUCCAAGUGUGGCCGGGGUUCCUUCAGGAACAGCUCGCCAGUUAACCGGAGUCCAGGUCCUCCUUGCCUCGAAGGAAGAGCUGGACAGGCCAAGCCAAAGGCGGUGCCAGAAGUUCAUCUGAAAAGUGAGGGGUGAAGGAGUAAGGGAAAACUCGGCUCCGCGGAGUGAAGUUGGACCAAAUAAAAGAGAGGAAACGAUACAAGCAAAAAUAAGGUGCGCCUGGUGCAGUGGCACGGAGCGGGCUCCCAGGGGCGCCUCCUCUCUUUUAUGCCACCAGCAUCUCGCGGGAGCCCGCGGGAAGCUCCACAUCCGGGGUCCUGGGAGUUAUUUGGCGCUGCCGCAGGUCCUGCAGCUGAGAGCGCAGCCCGCUCUGCCGUGCCCCUGAGAGGCGUCGAUCCCACACACCCGCAUGGGGUGUGAGGAGCGGAGGGCUCUGUCUCCUGUGGCUUCUUCCGGCGGGAAGGCGCUGCAGGCCCUACGUUCUGGGGGCUGUGUGCUAUCCCACUGCCUUGGGGUACUGAGGCUCUGGCUGGGUCAAAGCAAAUAAAACCUGUCAGAAAAUAAUGAGAAAGGAACCUUGAGCUGCCUGUUGGAUGGGACAGAGAAACUUUAUUAUUAGCCCAGAUGUGAGAUGCAGGUCAGACCUCCGCGCUUCCUGGAGAGAGGAAUGUGCGCGAGAGAUGCACGUCAGAUGAAUUAUUCAGGGCCGGAGAGCCUUGGCCUGAGCAAGGUCCUGUUCUCUUAUCUGUAGCAGCUGGAGCUUUGCCUUUUAAAGGGAAAUUUCAGGUCUUCCAGAGGCUCACGGGAGUUGCUUUUCCUUCUGGGUGAUCUUGUUCCUUAGUUCAGGUGGGACCGGCUUCAGUGUGGAAACAUGAACCCGAUUACCUGUCUGCGCCACUUUUGCUGCAGGGGGUGAGGCAAGGGUCCCUGAGAAGGCCCUUCCCAUGCUGGCUUUAACUGGUCAGCAGGCGUCCCCUCUCUCCACGUCUUCACUUGGUGACCAGAGUGGACGCGAGGUGGGGCCCUCCGGCCAGGAGCCAGCAGGACUCUGUUCCCGGCCAGUUGGGCGGCUUGUUGCACUUGGCCCAGACUGAUGACGUAUUGUACGUGCCCCAUGGUCUGUGGCUCUACUGUGAUAUCCGAGGGUAGAAACGGCCUUCCGUAUAACAUCUGAAAUGGGCUCAAACUUAGCCCCGAUUUGGGGAUGUUACAAGUCCUCAUGAUGUACCGGUAGCAGUCGGAGCCAGGGCUCAGACGUCUCUUGGCAAAGUUUGCCAGAGCUCCCUUCGGGGCCUGGUUGGCCGUACCUUUCCAGAAGAUUGAGGCCACCAGGACAAAUGAAAGUGGUGCUUUAUCCCCAAAGCCUUUGCCACUCCCGGAGUUAUCUGGGAGGUCACAGAAGGCCCAUUGUCGCUGCGGAGAGAGUGGGGUAGUCCGGAUCUGGGAUUCCUUUGAGAAGCGCCUUGACUACCUCAGCGCCCUUUGUGGAGCAGGGAGGAAAGGCUUCAGUCCUGCCUGUGAAGGUGUCGAUCAGGACCGACAUCUGUUUAAACCCCCCACGUGGUGGCACGCGGGUAACGUCUAGUUGCCAGUCCUCCCCAGGGCCUGUCCCUCUCCUCUGCGCAGGUUCCAGUGAAGGAGGUUCGGGCUCGCCCGGGUUACUGUGGGCACACAGUGGGCCCACGCUGCAGACCUGUCGGGCGG
Molecule: long non-coding RNA, 4592 nt
Organism: Chinchilla lanigera (long-tailed chinchilla)
Lineage: Eukaryota; Metazoa; Chordata; Mammalia; Rodentia; Chinchillidae
Source: Ensembl